UGUAUCUCUUAGGAAAUGGUGAGAGCCAUCCACACAAUGUGGAUUUAAAGGGGACUCUACUAUAAUUUCAGCUUUCCUACUCUUUAUAGAAACCAUCUUCUCUGCAAACACACAGGCAAUAUCUCUGUGUUCAUUUCUACUGGGAACCCUGUAUGCAAGAUGGAGAGAGCCACAUUUCCCCCUGAGAUGUUAUGUAAAAUUUGAGGUUGAGAUGACAUAUCUGACACUCUGUUGUUACCCUCAGAAGCUACUACAUGUGAAAUUCUAAUGACUGCAUUAUCCUACCAAGUUAAAGAGGCAGGCAUGAGCAAGGACAUUUAAGAGGGGUGAGAGCCUCAUCAUGAUGGGGAGUCUUGUUCUGACAUCUUGGGAAGAAAUGUCCACAGUGUGAAGUCAUCAACUUGUUGUCCUGGUUUACAGUUUGAGCAUCUGUUGUUAUGGUGUCGAAAAUGUUGGCGAGUUCUGAGUGGCUCACGCUUCAGGUACAAGGGUUUUCCCAUGAAAUUUACAUUGAGUUGUCCACCUCCAGCUUAUAGGGCUUCUGGAACAGAGUGGGUCUUGCUCUUUGUACAAGGGUUUUCCCAUGAAAUUUACAUUGAGUUGUCCACCUCCCGCUUAUAGGACUUCUGGAACAGAGUGGGUCUUGCUCUUCGUGAUUCCAUGGGAGAAAAUGGAAUUGGAGGAACUAGUAGAAUUCAGGGUAAUAUCCAGU
RNAcentral lists this long non-coding RNA (712 nucleotides) under Homo sapiens (human). RNAcentral's name for it is "PREDICTED lncRNA (TCONS_00133869)". The record is from RNAcentral. Lineage: Eukaryota; Metazoa; Chordata; Mammalia; Primates; Hominidae.